UAAUUACUACCUCCGUUCGGAAUUAACUGUCACUGAAAUGAGUGUAUCUAGACGGGUUUCAGUGUGUAGACUCACUCAUUUCAGCGACAGUUAAUUCCGAACGGAGGAAGUACAUG
Triticum aestivum (bread wheat) is the source of this 116-nucleotide non-coding RNA. Lineage: Eukaryota; Viridiplantae; Streptophyta; Magnoliopsida; Poales; Poaceae. The record is from Rfam.